CAUGUCUUUUUGAUUAUAAUUUAAGGUUUGGCCUGCUCAAUGAGUAUUAAAUAGCCGUGGUAUAUUGACCAUGCUAAGGUAGCAUAAUCAUUAGUUUCUUAAUUAGGGACUGGAAUGAAAGGUUGGACGAAAAAUUUUCUGUCUCAAUUUAAUUUUAUUAAAAUUUUAUUUUUAAGUUAAAAAGCUUAAAUAUAUUUAAAAGACGAGAAGACCCCAUAGAGUUUAAUAUAAUUAUAAAUGUUUAAAAAUUAUAAAGAAUAUUAUUUACAAAUUUAUAAUUGUAUUUUGUUGGGGUGAUAGAAAAAUUUAAUUAACUUUUUUUAUUUAAAUAACAUUAAUUUAUGAUUAAAUGAUCCAUUAUUUUUGAUUAUAAGAUUAAAUUACCUUGGGGAUAACAGCGUAAUUUUUUAUAGAGUUCUUAUUGAAUAAAAAGUUUGCGACC
This 442-nucleotide ribosomal RNA is filed under the name Uroxys sp. dgi1. RNAcentral describes it as "partial 16S ribosomal RNA". Lineage: Eukaryota; Metazoa; Arthropoda; Insecta; Coleoptera; Scarabaeidae. The record is from RNAcentral.